GGGGGAUUCAUCUCUCUCUCCUGCAAAUUCCGUCACGGCACUCGACUCUUUCUUCUCCUCAUCACGUAGUUUUCGCCAUCCACGCACUUCCUUCGCAUGACACGAUCAGCGUCUCUUCCUUCGCUAUAUAUAUAUACUGAGACACACAAACAACGACCUUCUGCAGCACUCUCGACGGCCAUGGCCCGCGUUCUCGUUCUCCUGGCAGUGCUUGCAGCCGCCUCGGCAUGGGAGUCUGCGAAGGCUCCCCCAUGCAGCAAGAUUACAGAGAUGAUCGUGCCGUGCAUUCCCUACUUGAUCGACAAGGCGGCGCACCCAGGACCGAAGUGUUGCAGCGGGGUGAGAGACCUGCGCAAGGCGACCAAGACCCACGACGACCUGGUGGCCAUCUGCGAAUGCCUCGAGCGCGCCGCCCACCUCUUCCCCGGGAUCGACCACCCGCGCGCCGACAACCUCCCCCACCUCUGCGGGGUGCGCUUCAACCUCACCUUCUCCCCCUCCGUCGACUGCAAGAAGUGAGACUCUCUCUCUCUCUCUCUCAUAUGUAUAUAUAUAUAUAGCUAUCAACAGUACUAUCAUCAUACACUGAUCCAUACACGGUGAGUGAGAUCACAAGCUCUUCUUCCGUUGGCAGAAUUCCAGGGCCCGAAGAGCUGGAGAAGCAUCUGCUGUAGACUCCCUCCAUCAGCGUCUGCAUGCAUGAGCAAUCAAUCGCAGCAAAAGGAGGUCGCAACAACAUGAUUGCUCAGUGUUCACUUUACUCGGAAAUCUCACUCUUCCUUCAGUUGAUUCAAUAAAAUUGUAUGGUCUCAUGUUCAUCAAGAUAUGUGAAUCAGCACUACAUGACAAGUGUUGAGGAUCACAAAGCACCAAUGACAGAUACUUCUUUUUUUUCUUUUUCGUUAAAAGAAAAACCAUUUAUUCAUGCAUUCAUUCAUUCUCUUAAGAUGCUGAUCAACAAAAUACACGAAAUAAAAAUAGAUAAAUCCACAUGAAGAUCAUUGAACUUUAAGAAAAUAAUAUUUUGGAUACUUUUUAAUAAUCCUUUCUUAAUUUCACCAAUUAUUUCACCUUUGUAUUUUCCAACAUUUUUUAACGGGUAUCAAAGUAAAUUUAUGUUUCAUUCAUUAUAUUAACAGUCAAUAUAUGGUGAUUUACUGUUUUAUAUUUAUAUAUACUGUAAAAUUAAAUCUAAGGUAUAUGUGUAAUUUAAAAUCCUAUUAAAAUUGGUCCAAUUCGGCUCAAUUAGGCCGGACCGAAACGGUUCGGCCGGUUCCGGUUUGGGAGACGUGGCCGCGCGGCUACAUCUCAUGUGCGCCGCACGUGUGAAUAACUAGUCACCGAGCGAUUUGGGCCUUCUCUCGAGGACGGGAGAGCGAGAGGGCGAUUGGGAGACGAGCGCAACCCAAGCAAAGCCAUGAAGAGGAUUCCUCGAAUCAAGUUCCCGCAGAGGCAUCCGCCCAAGCCCACAGGUCCUUCCAUCCUCUUCUCUUUCUCCCCCUCGUACAUUUCCUUUUAGGGUUUCUAAAUGCUCCUUCUUACGAUCGAUUUGAUUGAUUCUCGUAGGAUCGUCCCCGGCUUCUGAUGAGACAACGUUCCUCGAAUCAAGUAUGUUAACUUCCUUUUCCCCUUCGUAGUGGAGGUCUUUCAUGUUUCCAUCGGCGUAGAAGAAUGUAGUAAUCGUGCUAAUGAUACGUGCUUACGGUCACGGGGUUACGUCGAUCUAAAAGAUCGAUUUGGGUUUCCCCGACCGACUAUAUGGUUGAAUUUGAGAUUCACGUCUUGGUUAUGUUUGUUUUCUGUCAGGGAAAGAAGGAACAGAAAUCACGUUGUUAACAAUGUGGUUGAAGGUGGGCAUGAAUUGUGUUUUAUGAACGUAAUGCCAAUGAGAUCGAAGGGGAAUAAAGAAUCAUAUCUCAUCGUGUACAAAUCCGGAUAUGUAACAUCUUAGUUGAUUAUUUAUAUUGAGAAUAUAAUUAAUAUAUUAAUUUUUUUCUUCCGCUUGUUGAUUGAUUCCUAAUUGCUUUUACUUUCCCAUGAAAAGAAGACAUGUAAUUAUGAAUUAUGCACAUAACUUCAUAGAUAUCAAACAUUAAAGUUCCUAGCGGGUCUCAAUUACAGGAUUGAACCAUGUACAAAAUAUUUGGUGGAGCAUGUCAUAACUAAAUUUUUUAUCUGCAGUAUGAUUCCCUCCCUGAAAAAAUAAUUAAAUCUAGGGAAAUUUAGAAUAAUUGCCCACUUGAGAUAAGUGGUUAUGCUUUUAAGCCAGCUAUGUUCUACUUCCUGAUAAUACUUCAUUGAAUUGAAAAUCCUCGGUUUUUUAUCUUAUUUGUUCUAUUGCCCUUGUUAUCGUGGAAGGAAAAAAGUAGCCUCCCAUAAAAAUUUGUAGAGCUGAUGGGUGCAAAGGUAAUUAAGGAUAAGCCUUAAAUAAGCCCCAAAGUAUGAUUGUUGUUCGUCUUCUUUGCUAAUUUUCAAUCCCCAAGAUUGUAAUCUUUCUCUUCUCCUUUAGCCUCACCUCUCAUCACCAAUCCCUCGCCCCUUCUUGGUUGUCCUCCUUUGAAACACAUAAGCCUCUUAAGAUGUUUUCUUUUUGCCUUACAUCGGUUGCAUGUCCUUAGCAAUAAAAAGUGGUCGGAAACAAUGAUCAUAAGGAAACAUCACAAAUGUUAACAUCAAAUAACUAGAAAAUUAGAGGAUAAUGAAAAAGGUACCUAUCAUUGAUCUCUUUCCAUUCUGCAAAUUAAAUUAUUUCUUCCCAAAUGGACUUACACAGCCUUUAGAACCUUGCUUAAGGCUUUAAAGGUGCAUUUUCCCUUAUCAAAAUGCAUAAGGUGGAGUAAAAAAGAGUAACAUGGCAAACGGAGAUGUCUCAGGUGGAUAAAGUGCCAUGAAUUAGAACACAUCUUGUGAAAGUGCCAAAUCUGUCUGGUGGGCAAUUUGUAAUUUUCCUACUUCUCUGUGCCCGAGCCUCUAGUAGAUCCUUUGUUGUAGAUGAAUCUUGAUGAGAACAAGAGAACAAUCACUGCUUGCAGUUCUUGGAUAUAAUCAUUUUGGGCCCAUUCCAGCACAUAAACAGCAGAGAAAUAGCACUGGGACUUUCGUAGUAAGUAGGCCCUUUACAUCUUGGAGCCCUAGAUUCAUCACGUUAAUUGUCACUGUGUACAUGUUGUGUUAGUGUCCUGUUCAUGUCAGUGUAUCCAUGCUUCCUAGGCUCUACGGUGAUUGCAGAUAUUGUGUGACAUUUUGCUAGGUAUUAAUGGGCCUUACUCUAUCAGUUAUGGACAUAAGUGAUACAUCUUCUUUUCCAAGUUUUACCUUCCUAUGGUAAUUCAUAUUUGCAUUUCUUUUUUAGAUGUAACAUCCCAACCCAAGGCUGCCUCAUCAUCUGGCGAUGCUCGAAGUUAUAGAUUCCGAUCGGAUGUUCCUGCUCCACCUUCCUACACUGCUGCAGGUGGAAAGGCUUCACUCUUGCCAAAGCGCAUACCAAUAUCAGAUAAAGAGAUCGAGACCAUUUUGGUGCGUGAAAUUCUUUCUUGUGAUUCUUACUUGAUAAGGUCUAUCUAUCAAAACUAUAUAAUUAAGCAAUGAAGUCACUGCCUAUUUUCCUUUUUUAUAUGUUUAUUUGUUCUCUGUAAGAAGUUUUUCUACUAAACUAUUUUUCUUGGUGCUAUAUAAUAUUUACCUGUGCCAGAUUAUUGUUGCUAAUAUAAUAGAUGGCAGCUCAGAAAGUGUUUGUUAGGUGUGGACUCUUUAGGAGCUGCGUCUAGGAGUCUGAUAUUUAAUUGAGAAUAUUCCAUGGAGUAUAAUUUUGUCCAUUUUAUGACAAGUCUAUUAAUAUCCUAUGAUGUGUAUUAUGACAAGUCCUUACUACUUGUAAAGAACAUUUGCAUGAGCAGCUAGUCUGUGUCUGCUGAUACUUUAGAUCUGCUGGGUUAGUUUAGAACAUCUGUCCCAACCAGUUUGUUGCCGGGACAGGAAUGUGUCCUUUUCCUAAGGGAUUGCUUAUGUGCUAUUCCUGAAAUGUGACUUCCAUCUUUUUCUCCUAAAUUUUCAACCAUCGAAGAAGUUUUUCUUUAGGUCAGUUCUGCUUCUAUCAAUAAUCUUGAUCUCUGUUUUCUUUAUGUAACUGUGAUUUCCUUUUUUCUUUUGGUUGACUUUUGAUCUUUGUCAAAUAUCUGUGUUAUGUGGGAGUUGGAGCAUGUAACAAACUGUCCUACUAAUCAUUCUUUAGUAUAAGUGUGAUCCACUAGCUAUGAUCAUUUCUUUAGAUGCAUAUAUGUUCCAAGUCAAAUAAUCUUCUGACUUGGGUUCUAUUAAAAAGAAAGUGGGUUUCUUUUUGUUGGCAAUAUGUGAACUUCAUUUUUUAUCGUGUAAAAGAACUAUGCAAUCCUUGAGUUUGAAGGCACAAAAGUAACUCUCCUUUUUGUUAUAGUCAUAUUAUCCUUUGUCAUAUGCCCUGAUGAGCAUUCUAUUUUUCGCAGUUGGGUGGCUGUUUUUGAUUAUGCAAGCUGUCGGUUGCGCUCGUGAGUAAUAUUGCAUGAGUGUUAUGGUUGUAUCUCAAAGUACAUUUCUUAGGCCACAAACUUUUUGUUCCCUGGAAUUUGAGGUUUGACCCUUAAUUUUCCUGCAUUUAUUGUAAUAUUAAUGUAAGAUUACCAACUCAAAAGAUGGUUACUUUUUUUACCAGUUGUAAGGUGGCAUUUCUUUCUAAGCUCUUUGAGAUGCUCAACUUCAUUGGAUCUUGAAACUUGUUCUAGUGAUGGUAACACCUUUAAGUUUGCUUCUUGAAACAUGGAUCUGUGACAGGUCAUGCUUGUGUUAUGGAACAUUCAAGCUUGGAUGAUUGUUUGCUUAUCUUACAUUUGGUUUGCUUAUCUUAAGUUGAUGAUAUCAUUCAUUGGAACCAUUAGUUUAGUCGAAAAGAUAGAAAACCAUUACUAGUAUCAGAUUAAUUGAAGCUAAUUUGUAGGUUUCUAGUUUCAUUGGAGGUGCAAUUAUCAAACUCCCUUUCCUUCUUUGAAAGAAAUUAGGAUGCACACAAUCUUAUGCUUAAAAAUGAAAAUUAAAUCCAGAAGAUAGUUAAAUGAAAAGUUCAAUGAACCUCCUAAACAAUUGAUCAAGAAAAAUGUAAUGACUAGGAUUUCUAUAAACAUUAUUGACUCUUAUAUACAUAUUCACAUUGGCUUUUCUUGAUAGAUAGAUUGUUCCCUAUUGUAAGAAAAGAGAGGUGAGAAGAAAGAGGAAGGUCCCCAACCUCACCAGAGCCUGUAUUGUAUACUGUGUACAUGUAUGCAUAUCCAAGCUACAUCCUCCUCCCACCGGAGCCUGACUCUCUCUGGCAGUUGAAGUAGACGGCGGCGACCGGCGAUCCGAGGUUAUAGAGCUCCGCGAAGUCCCUGGUGUUGAAGUUCUGCCGCCACCCGGGAGCAUCCACAGCUUGCCGGCUGGGGAGCUGCCUGAAGAGCACGAAGACGUAGCGGUGGAUGCCGAGCUGAGGCCGCGGGCUCUCGUAGCACACUACCUCCUGACCUGCAGCCAAUGGGUGUUGCAUGCAUGCAUGGCUGUGAGACCUAUUUCUGCUCGAGUGCGAGAGUCACGUAUGCAACGAGGUAUUUGAUCUUGUUCUGCUUGAAGAGAUCUUACCGUAUGUUGCUUCGGUCUUCGCGGGGAUGUCGGUGAUCAACCUGCAGCAGUGGAAGGAUCAAAAACUAGUUUAUUUCGUUGAGACUUCAGUGAGAAAAGCUCGCACAAGAACUAAACGAACGAGACAAUCACACGGUGUGAUGCAACAGAUAUGAGUACGUAUCUUCUUCUUCUGCUUGUAUUGAAGCAUCAAAACUGGAUUAUUUUGUUGAGGAUUAAAUGAGAAGAUGAUGGUAUGAAGCAAUACGUACUUCUUAAGCAAGCAAAAACUGUGUGUUGCAUGCAUCCUCAGCUUGUAGAUGGUAGAACAUACAACUAAAUAAAGCAAAAUAAUGAUCGUGUUGAGGAAUGGAAAUGACUUCAAAGCUUUCUUCUUCUUAGAGGCAUCAAAACUAGUUUCUUUUGUUGCGAAUUCAAUGAGAAGAACUUGCUAAAAGACCAUGUGUUGAGUCAUCAGCUUGUAAAAUGGUAGAACAUAUGACUGCAUAGAGGGAAUAAUGAUGGGGUGAAGCAACUAGACAUGACAACACUGCCUUCUUUUUCAUCUUCUUCACAAUUAAAAAGGCUAAGUAGUGUACAUAAAGAUAUAAUACAAAGAUUUCUUUCAUUAUAGUGACCCACUUUGGAUCUAUAAUGGACAAGUUAUGUGCUGGCUGACAAGUUCCUGUUCCUUGUAGAUCAAAGUGAGCUUCAGAUAUAAAAGCAAAAAGGUGAGCUUGCAUUGCAUAGAAUGACAAGUACUCACUACUUCAUGCAUGUGGUCUGGAGCUGCAUGUAUUCUACUAUACAAAAUUAGGGGAUAUAUAUAUGACAUAUCACUCUUACAGAGACAGUUGUUCGAUCAUAUCAGGAUGUACAAAACUGAUCAACAGCAAAAUCACUGGUUUUCCCAAAAAAGAAAACAAAUCUUUGCUAAGGUUACUGACCAGACUACACGAUUGAGGUGUACUUGUACUUAAUUGUUUUGAUGGUUAUUCUUAGAAAGGAGGAGAUUACACUACAUUUAUCUGUGGAGAGAGAGAGAGAGAGGGAGAACUGGAGAGAAGCAAAAUCGGCAGCAGAAGCAGGAUAUGCAUAAGAUAGAAUAAAGUAUUGUUGGUGGAACCCAUUAUGAACAGAGUCUUUUAUCACCAUUAAGGCUUUCUUUUUCUUUAAUCUCUUCUUUAUUGGUAAAGAGUAUAUCUGCAAUCCAUAUCACUCCUCCAAACAGUUCCUCAGUCAUAUCAGCUGUACCAUGCUGCAACAGAUCAUCAGCAAAAUUGCUGGUCUUCUCUAAGGUGGAUGGCCAGAUUACACCACUAAGGUGUUCUUCUCUUUGUUCUAAUGAUUAUUCUCAGAAAGGAGGAUAGAUGCAAAAGUAGCAAGAGCUGAACAAGUGUAUAUAUGUACAUAAGAUAGAAUAAAGUAUUUUCUGUUGGAAUGCAUUAUGAAAGGUGCAUAUAUGUACCAUGUAAUGAAGACCUCACUGGUAUGCUUAGUCUUGGAAGAUAAGCACUUCUAUGAUGUGUAUCUAAUAUAAGCUUAAGGAAGCAGCUAUGAAAGAAGUGCUCACCAGUGCAAAUACUCUCUGAGGGUUGGAUCACUUGGACUGGGAGCAUCUGGGUCUACCAUAACCUGAGAGACAUGCUUUAGACAUCAAGAACCACUCAAAAAUCUUCUGUGUUGCAGAAGAUACUUAAGGUAUUGGGAUAUAUAUAUAUAUAUAUAUAUAUAUAUAUAUAUAUAGAUGCUAAGACUGGUCACUGCAUCAAGAACAUAUAUCAGCAAGUAUAUGGAUGUAUCAUAAGCAUGGAGACUUACCAGUGUGUAGUUGGAUCUGAAGUCACUUCCUCCAACCUCAACUCUGGGCUGCUCAGCCACAGCUGAUGGCUUAAACUCACAUCCAUUGGUGACCUCCCUGGUGCUAUAUAUCACUCUGAGAUGUACACUUCUUGUGAACGGAUCAAGGACAUCCCCAAUCACCCUGCUCACAGCUAAAGAAUCCCUGUCUCUUUGCAUGAGAUCCAGUACUUCUCUGGGUGCAAAUGGACUGAGAGAGNNNNNNNNNNNNNNNNNNNNNNNNNNNNNNNNNNNNNNNNNNNNNNNNNNNNNNNNNNNNNNNNNNNNNNNNNNNNNNNNNNNNNNNNNNNNNNNNNNNNNNNNNNNNNNNNNNNNNNNNNNNNNNNNNNNNNNNNNNNNNNNNNNNNNNNNNNNNNNNNNNNNNNNNNNNNNNNNNNNNNNNNNNNNNNNNNNNNNNNNNNNNNNNNNNNNNNNNNNNNNNNNNNNNNNNNNNNNNNNNNNNNNNNNNNNNNNNNNNNNNNNNNNNNNNNNNNNNNNNNNNNNNNNNNNNNNNNNNNNNNNNNNNNNNNNNNNNNNNNNNNNNNNNNNNNNNNNNNNNNNNNNNNNNNNNNNNNNNNNNNNNNNNNNNNNNNNNNNNNNNNNNNNNNNNNNNNNNNNNNNNNNNNNNNNNNNNNNNNNNNNNNNNNNNNNNNNNNNNNNNNNNNNNNNNNNNNNNNNNNNNNNNNNNNNNNNNNNNNNNNNNNNNNNNNNNNNNNNNNNNNNNNNNNNNNNNNNNNNNNNNNNNNNNNNNNNNNNNNNNNNNNNNNNNNNNNNNNNNNNNNNNNNNNNNNNNNNNNNNNNNNNNNNNNNNNNNNNNNNNNNNNNNNNNNNNNNNNNNNNNNNNNNNNNNNNNNNNNNNNNNNNNNNNNNNNNNNNNNNNNNNNNNNNNNNNNNNNNNNNNNNNNNNNNNNNNNNNNNNNNNNNNNNNNNNNNNNNNNNNNNNNNNNNNNNNNNNNNNNNNNNNNNNNNNNNNNNNNNNNNNNNNNNNNNNNNNNNNNNNNNNNNNNNNNNNNNNNNNNNNNNNNNNNNNNNNNNNNNNNNNNNNNNNNNNNNNNNNNNNNNNNNNNNNNNNNNNNNNNNNNNNNNNNNNNNNNNNNNNNNNNNNNNNNNNNNNNNNNNNNNNNNNNNNNNNNNNNNNNNNNNNNNNNNNNNNNNNNNNNNNNNNNNNNNNNNNNNNNNNNNNNNNNNNNNNNNNNNNNNNNNNNNNNNNNNNNNNNNNNNNNNNNNNNNNNNNNNNNNNNNNNNNNNNNNNNNNNNNNAUAGAUGACAUGGCUUGUCCUUGGAAGGAUAAAUGAUCCUGUGGUUUCUGAUGCCAUUGGGUUUCUUCUUCUAAGGUGUACAAGUUGAAGCAUGUAUUUGACUUGAUGAGCUCUUUGUCUGCAGCACUCACCAUAGAAGUCCUCAUCAUUUCUUGUCCUGUGACCCAUUGGUUGAUGCAUGAAAAAGGAGGGGGGCAAUGACACCUCCUUCAUUUGGUUUCAGCCUUUGUCAUUCGAACCAGUGGUCAUCUCCAUCACCCUCGUGGUUUCCAUGGUUGUCGAUUCCUCAUUGGCCGAGGUAACACUGAUCCUUAAGGCUCAAACCCUACCAUUUACGAGCUGUCGAAUUCCUUUCGUCAGUAGAAAACUUAUCAUAUCGGGAAAGAUCUUCGUACCAAAAGAAUAAUCCAGAAAGUAAAGCAUAAAAUAUAAAUAAAAGAAAUGAUCGACUCAAUAUUUACGUAAUUCAUUCUCCUAAUUUAUAUCCACAAAUAAAAUUUUGAAGGAACUAAAAAUUUCCUUCGGUUAAUUUAAAUCUAAGUAUAAAUCCUUUUAUAUAUCCUCUCAUAUAAUUUUUAAAUAAUUUUUAAUUUUUUCUCUCAUUCUUUCUAAAUUUAUCGGAGGAAACAUAAGAGUACUCUACUAUUACCGUCUCUCAAAAUCUAGAGAUAUAUGAGAUAAUUAUUAAAUAAUUAAAUUAUACUUUCUCGUAUUUCAACACUUUCUUAUGUGUAAAUCCGAUGAUAGUUACAAAGUACUGAAACUCUUAAAGAACUAUUGCUAUAAAAUUUUCGAUUAAGAUUAGAAUCUUUGAAUUUAAUUUAUAGAUAAACUCAAAGAGUAAAAACUGUGUUACAAAGUACUGAAACUCUUAGGCAUUUUAGCUCUAUAAACAGAGGUAGAAUGCAAACCUGUUUGACCUCACAAGGCUUUUCAUGAAGCAUCUGAUAGCAUGAGGACUUGAGUUAGUGUUAUCCCAAGUAGUUGGAAGGAGUCCAAAUCAAAGAAUGGAUUGAGUACUUUGUAAGAUUUGUUGUUAAUAUCAUGCAAAUAUUUUAGCAUCUUGAGUAUUUUUUUUCUUCACAGUAUGCAGCUAUCUUCAUGUGCAAAGGAGGAGCUUCAAAUUGAUUGGUGAUCAGAAUACAGCAGAGGGGCAGUUCAAAGAGAGACAUCAAAUCAGAUUGUUUAUGUUCCCUUCUUUGCCACUUAUGCCUUUAUUUCCAACAUCCCCACCUUUUAGAAUCGCAUGUAUCUCCAUUCCUUUAGUUGGCAGCAUAGAAAGCAAAUGGUAUACGCAUCUUAAGAUCAUGAUGUGGUGACACUUCUACAGCCACAAAUGAUACAAACAAACAAUGAAUUGUGUCAAUUCCAACCCUUAAAUUCUUUAAAGUGCUAUGUUCUUUGUCAAUAACAUGAUCAAUAUCUUCUAUCUUGUUAAUCGAGAUUAAGAUCGCUAUGUUAUCUGUCAAUAACAUGAUUAAUCGAUAUGAUCGUUACGAUAUUUUCUCAUUAAAUUAGUGAUCGAAACACCGCCAAUAUAUAAAAAAUAUCUCCAUAUAUGCUUUUAUUUUGCAUAUUUGAAAUUCACGUAAAUAUGCUAGAGUUUCUAAGCUACUUAUGGGUAUUAUUCUUUCACAAUAAAAAAAAUGAAAAAAGCGACAUAUGUGAUAUGAGUGUUUUAUGUCCUCCAAAUAGAAUAUGAGAUAUGGAUAUUUUGUACCAUCAAACACAAAUAUAGGUGAUUUUUGUCCUUGGACUAAAGCGAGAUAUAAUAUAUGAGAUACAAACAUUUUUUACCCUCAAGUGAAAUCACCUCUUUGAUUAGUUUCUUUAGCUCUUCCAAACACGAUACUACUCGAAGAACAAGAAUCUAUUUUUCCAAGUAAAUUUAUGAACAAAUUUAACCAUAUCAACCAUUUAGCACUCACUUCUAUUGCUAUAGGUGUAAGUUUACUUCUUCUUUUUUUUUACACCAUUUAUAAGAGGAAAAUGUUGCUUUCUUUCCUAGUUUUGUAUUUGUUUUGUAAUCUUCAUCUGCUUGGUUGUCUCUUUUUAGUUCAAUCCUCAGUCUCCCAAAGUUCUACCCCCUCCAAUCUGAUGCAGAUAUAUCCAGUUUAGUAAGUAAUACUGGGAUUAGCAUGAGAUUGAAGGAGUACCCACUCUUAAGGUUUUCUAAAUGAAAGUUGUGAUUUCCAUAGAAGACUACAUGGCUUCUAUUAAAGCUCUAAUGCAAAACAAGGCACUGCAUGUGCAUAUAGUUGUGUUCUACAAAGAAAAGAUGAGUUUUGGUGGUAGAGACAUUGUCUGAUAUGAACAUGAGGCAAAGAUGAAGUGUAACAACAUCAAUCUACAUAUUAGUGUAAAGAUAGGUAUAGCUUUACAGAAAAAGAUACAUUAGAUUUAAUGCAGUACUGUGGGCAAGAAUUGAACAUUGCUAAACAUUAUUUGGAGACAAAAGUUACUAUUCUUUUCCAUAACCUAAAUCAAAGAUGCAUACAUCCAUUCACAUCUGAGCUAAUCAUAACAUCAUGGUUUGGAGGCCAGUUUUCAUCUCAUUAAGUAUCCCAGAUUCUGAAGUUCAUCUUAAUGGAGGUUUGAUGUUAAAAGAAAGCCAUGUUAUUUCUCAUUUUUUUUACAUGCAGAUUUAGUCUUCUUGAUCUUUUUAGCAGGAAGAGAAGCUGUUGAUUGAGUCUUGAAACCCUAGAGAAUUUGUUGACAGUAAUAGAUUGGUUUGGAAAUGGUAUUUGGCUCUGUCAAUUGGAGCUUCUUACAUGGAUGAAUUAGAUUCUCUUCACAAGUAAAUCAUGAAUCUAAUUAGGAAACACAUGAACUUGGGUUCAAUCAUAAGAUUGCUAUUGUCAGGAAAGAAGACAUUGACACCAUUUUAUGAUCCUUCGAUACUAUAAAAACAAUAAAAAAAUAAUGAAAUUAUUACAAGGAUGAUAAUGAAAUCCUUCAUUCCAUGAAAAUAUCAAAACACAUGGUAUAAGAUUUUAUCUAUGACUAGGUGUUAUCCAUCUCGAGAGUCUAAUCUCCGAGGGGUUGAAUGCUCCUUCAUCACUGGAAAACUAGCAUCGGAUGUCAAUCACUUUUGAUGCUCAAAUCAAUUAGAGGUUUGAUGUUAGAGUUGAAGGUGAAGAUCUGAAUCUUGAAUAAUACCUAAAAGGUUUCUCUAUUUAUAGAAUGAUUAGAACCAUAUUCCGAGAAUAAUGAAUGUUUCGAAGAAUAUUUCAUUCCUCCAAUGCAUAAUGACAUAACUGUGUGGAUGACUCGACUCAAAAUAUUCAUCAUAUAAAUGUGUAAAACUACUAAAGACAUAGAUGAACAUAAAGAAUUUGUCAUACUACUAAUCACCUGCACUGCAUAUAGACACAGCAAACCAUAUCAGAUCAGAAGAUGUAGAAGCAAAUCUAGCAAGCCAUCUUGUCUGUUCUUCUUCUCCUCCUCCUCCAAAAGAAAUGUUUAGUCUUACAAGGGUGUGAGCAGCUGAGGUCACCUCCCUGUAGUCAACCCUUGUGAGCACCUGUGCUGUGAGAUCUCAUCAGUGAAAGACUUGGGGAAGAAAAGAGGAGAGAGUGUGAUCUAUAGAGUUCAGUUAACUUGGCUCCACCUCAAUCCAACCCAAUUCCAAGCCCACAACCAAGUUCAAAAUGGCUAUGAAAUAUAUAUAUAUUAUUUAUAGUAAAUAUAUAAUAUAUAAAUAAUAUGUUGCCUAACAUAUGUUCAUGAUUAAAUAAGAUAUAAUCAUACUAAUUUUGUACAUAAUUUAGUAAUGAUUUUCUCAAUCAAUCAUUAGUCUGAUUUAAGGAGAUAAGAUUUGUAAACAACCAAUAGUUAGAUUCUGAAAAAAAAGAUAAAAAUUUAUAUUCCCUCAAUUAUUCACUGAUUUAAAGAACUGAAAGCAUCAUGUACUGUUAGUUUGGUUAUUGAUAGGAAUUAUUCUGCCAUCUUUAUGAACUUGUUUACUAAUGAUUAUUACCUGAUCAUGUGCACGUGACAUUUGAUGCAACACUGACGGUCACGAUAGUUACACGUUAUCCUAUGAGUCGACUUUGUUGUAGAUUUGGAGUCAGUCAACGAAGACAGCUGUGCUCUUAAAAGCCGGUCAGCCAUUUUCCCAAGCUACUUGCGUGCACGUCAAUGAAGGACACCUCCGUCGACGUGUUCAUCUUGUUGUUGCCUUCCGCUCUCGAUGCCGGCCAUGUGACGUCCAUGAAUCCUUCCUUCUCAAGGAAUCCAUCGCCCACCGCUCGACGUCGGCUUCGUCGACCUCGCUUCCGCUGCCGACACCCGUCCGCGAACAGCUGCAAGCUUGCUCUGCUGUCUCCGUCCCUCUCCACCCUAUAAAUACGCCCCCCAACUGCUUGUUGUAUCGCCCCAACCGAUCACACGCUCAAGCUACCUCACCUCCCUCGUUCGCAAUGGCAGCGUCCAGCUUCACUUCGAAGGUCUCGCUGCUGCUGUUGCUGCUCGUGCUGGUCCUCGCCGAGGUCAGCGCGCAGGAGCAUAGCCCGGCCCCCGGCCCUGCGCCGGCCAUGGACAAUGGAGCUGUGGGGGGUUCUCCCGGCGCCUGCGCGGUUGCUUUGGCUUCCAUCAUGUCCUUCGUUGCUCUGCUCGCGCGCUGAGUGCGUGCUCUUCCCUCUUGACUGUAGAAGGGUUGAUUUGUAGAUGACAGGUAGAUUGAUACAUUGAGGAGAGUAGUGAGUCUGAGAGUUAUGAUUCUUCAGCAGAGGAGUGUGCAUGAUGUGUCAGUUAUAUGUUACUAGUUCAUGUGAAAUAAAGGACCUCAUUCAUCCUUGAGAUAUGGACAAGGUGAGUGCAUUCUGCUUCUUCUUCUUCUUCUUCUUCUUCUUCUUGAGUUCUGGCUUGACAUGGAACCAAGACAUGGAGGUCAUAUAAAUGGACGGCUGGGAUGUCAGGAUAAAGUCAACACCGAUUCUGAUCGGACGGCUGAUGGAUUUUCUUUUAUAUUUGAUCAUAGAAACCACCAACCGCCUCGGUCAUCAAAAUACUCGCAACUCGCUUCCGAUACCCACACGUGCCCGCAACCUUGUCGGUCAAACCCGUACCCCAGGCAUCACGCACCGUCCGUUCCUCCCGCCUGCGAAUCCUCUCCGUACGAUGCGUCAUUCCCUUUGAUGUCACUGACACCCGUACAAAAUCUUUUCUUAUACACCGGUCCAGCCCGUGAUGCUCGUCCAUCGUCGCAAUUAUUAUUAUACACACGUGCAAAAUUACAUGUGUGUCGCUCCUACGUCAUUCCUCUAUAUUUAGUUCAGGUUACAUAUAUGCACAUCCAAAAAUAAUAAUAAUAAUAAUAAUAAUUAUAAUUAUAAUAAUUAUUAUUACUAUUAUUAUUACACAUUCAAAUUUCUAUUAACUUUUGAAUUAAAAUUACAAGGGCAAAUUUGUGCAAAGGUGUCUUUUUUUGGGUUUUGCUAAAACAAUAUCUCAUUUUUAUUUUUUUCCACAUAGUAUUCCUAUUCCUAAAAAAAUAAAAUAAAUAACUUAAGGUUAUUAUCUACAUAAAAAAAUUCUCCAUCGAUUAUUCGAUAUUCUUUUAUUUUAAGACAAACAUGAAAGAAGAUCUGAGUAGGACCCAAAUCAACAUGAAUACUUAAAACUUGAUUUAACAAUAUUAUAUGUUAAAAUUAUACAUUUGAACUUUAUAUUUGUACCAGAAAUAUUGUUAUAUAUAUAUAUAUAUAUAUAUAUAUAUAUGUAUAAUUUUAUGUUAAUAUGUUAUUCUAAGUUAUUUAUUAAAUUUCUAAUAAUUUUCAUGUAAAAUUUAAAAUUAAUUUCUCAAUUUUACAUUUCUAAUAUUCUUUUAGUUGUCUAAUAAAAGCAUUUAUUGGUUCAAAUUUAUUUGAACAGGUCUAAAAUUUGUUGAACCAAAAUUGAUCCAAGCUAGAAUAAGAAAAUGACCCAUCACAUGUUGAGAUUGAGAGCCAAAGUUGACUUGUAAAAUAAAUAAUUAUUUUUUGUGGAUAUAUUAAAAUAUGUUUUUUAAAAAAUAAAAUUCAAUCAAUUUUCAGUUCACUUAUCAAAGAUUGACGAUUUAAAGUUUCAUCCAAUAUUAUUUUCUACAAUAAAAUAUUAAUAUAAUAGUGAUGUAUCCAACUUACUUAUCAAAGAUUGAGAUUUAAACUUUUACCUAACAUGUUUUAUAAUGUUACAAGUAGUUUAGAUGGUAAAGUCUUUAAUAAAUUAUUGAUUGAAUUUGUUAAAAAAAUUAAGAAAUUAUUUAUUUUUUAAAAGAUAAAGUGGCAAAGAAAGAUUCGAUAUUAGAAUCUUAUGAUAAUUUUUUUUUAAAUUAUUAUUUUUUUUAUAAGUGAUAAGUGACAAAGAUGAAUUUAAUUUAACGAUAUUAUAAUAAUCUAUCAAAAUUUUUACUAGCUAAGCUAGCUAAUGUUUUAAAAUUUUAUUAUUAUUACAAUGAUAAUACCUAACCUCUAACAAUACCAAUAUUUAUUUGGAUUGUAAAAAGAAUAGGCACAAAAAAAUGUUUUUAUUCUUCAAAACUAAAAGCAAUUUCAUUGUUUGGCUAAUGUUGACUAGCAAUUUUAUAUUCUUCAAAACUGCAUAUAUAUGCCCUUCUAAAGCAAAUUAUAUCCUUAUAAAUUUGAAAAUUUUAUAGAUAUAUUAUUGUAGGUAACAUAAUCACUUGAAAAUUACAAAAAUGAUUUUUUCUAUACCCACUACUCUAAAUUUCAAUUCCAAAAAAUAUUAAGUAUAUUUUGAAUAUUUUAAUGGAUUAAUUUUAUCUAGUUAAUUAUCACAAUUUGAAUCUAUCAAAUGGACAAUAGCAGAAGUGUCAUACAUGAAGAAAUUAAAUAUCUGAAUGCAUAUAUGUACAUGUCUAAGCAUAUAGAAUUCAAAAUUUGAAGGUGCAAAGGUAUUAAAAUUGAUGAUAGAUAUAUACUUAAAAUUGAUGAUAGAUAUAUACUAUAUUAAAAUCUACAGGGGCAAAUAUGUUAUUUCGAGACAAUGAGAGGAUAGAUAUGGAAAAUCAAUAAUCAUCUGUCCGUCAACGAGACUCCUCCGUAACGAAUUGACGCGUAAACUUGCGUUGCAAUGGCGAGGAAAUCGAAGAGGAGGGCAAAUUGUGGCCUUUUCUAGAGCUAAAAGCGACGUCGGGCAAAGAGGGGAUUGGAUCGACCGUUAGGGUUUGGAGAGGAGCGAGACGGAAGGGGGAGGAGAUGGAAGGAGGAGCUCAGCCGACGGAUGCAGAGAUGGCUGAUGCCGGAGGGCAGCCUCCUCAGCCGGUCCCGUCGCAGGGGCAGGAGAGCAUCCAGGCGACGCUCAGCCACGGUGGCCGGUUCAUCCAAUACAACAUUUUCGGGAACAUCUUCGAGGUCACCUCCAAGUACAAGCCCCCCAUCAUGCCCAUCGGGAAGGGCGCCUACGGGAUCGUCUGGUAAUCCUCCUCCUCCGCCCACCCCUUCUCUCUCUCUCUCUCUCUCUCUCUCUCUCUCUCUCUCUCUUGGUUUGCUCCCUGGUGGGGAAAUAUCCGAUCUUGUUUGGCUACUCGUGGUCUCGAUCGCAUUUGAUUAGAGGAAAGUCCUUUUUCUUUUCUUUUGAUGGUGGUUAAUUGUCACUUGGUUGUCGGAUUUGUGGUUGCAGCUCGGCUUUAAACUCGGAGACCGGUGAACAAGUGGCGAUCAAGAAGAUCGCCAACGCAUUUGAUAAUAAGAUUGACGCGAAGAGGACGCUGCGUGAGAUAAAGCUUCUCAGGCACAUGGAUCACGAAAAUGUCAGUGGGUUUGUCAGCUCUGUUUUUUCUAUGUCGUUUCUUCUUUUGCUUUUCCUUUUCUCUGCUUGGUAGUUUAGGAGGGUUUUUAAUGAUCAAUGAUGUAGAUCAAUUAAUGAAGUACCAAAUAAUCAAUUUGUCACUCGACGUCCAUAUCCGGUGUGGCUUUUGCUACUGCGUGAUCAUUUUGAUUCACCUGUCGGUGUUGAGUGAGAAGCACAGAAAAUUCAUAAAAUAUGCACUUUUAAUUUGUGCUUCCUGUAAAUGGGCAAGAGAUGCAAUGUUACAAGUAGUUAAUUACAAAAGCAAACGGAUGAUUUAUCAGGACACAAGGAUUCUAAAAUAGGUAGCUUACUUUUAUUUGCAUAGAGAAAGGACAUAUUGUUCAUUGAUUCAAAAGAACGAACAGAAUAAGCUCUAAAUUAGAGGGAAGUGCCUUUGACAGCUGUAUGGAUAAUUACUUAAGAUAAUAGAGAUGGUAAAAAAUAAAGAACCACAUGGAGGUCUCGUCGCUAGUCUAGCAUAAACAUUGGGGCCUAUAACACCCUCUACUAGUCUACAACUAAGCAUAAUGCUAACUGUUGAUUUUUGUUACAGCCAGAAAACUAAUGGUAGACUCGAUGUUACACUUGACAAUUGAUAGUCCAGAGAUUUCAAGAGAAACUCUUUCUCUAAUAUUCGAUGGAGUUAUGAUCAAGAAGAUGGGAUAGGACAAUAUAACUGUAAUCGAGCAAAACGUUGAAAGUUAGAUGUUUUGUUUUGUUUUGUUUGCAUUUUGUUUCAAUCAUGGAAAUGCCCCUCCUAACAGCUACAAGAUUGAUUUUGUUUAUAGCAUUUGAAUUUUUUAGAUGCUAUAUAAUGAGAUGAAUGAGUUGUUUCACUGAAGAUAUAGAAUGAAGAAGAUUUGUAAUUCUUGGUUGUUGGAGGUAUAUAGUGAAGACCAAGAAUAUUAGUUUGAACUAAAUGUACAGUGUUUGAUAGACUCCUGAUGCACCUGUUAGGAGGGUUUUGUCCAUUUUAGUUAUAGAUGGAGAUUACCUGAAGGAGACAUGAAUAUAAGCAGUUAAUCGCCAGAUUCAUAGACAAUUGCUGGUGAUACUUGUCCUAAGUUGUAUGAGAUUCAGGACACUGACCAAACUUCAUAAAUAUUUUAAGCUAUUGUUGUUACUUAAGGUCUAUAAGGCUUUAUUGUCACUUGAACUAGGAUUUGACAGAAGGAUCUGAAGAGGAACUAGAGGUGAGCUUGCAUCUCCAAGGGGAUGUGCUAAUGUGUUAUUUGUGGAAAGAUAAUAAAUUAAUUAAAUGCUGAAAAUGUUUAAACAGCAUAUUGAAUAAGGUAGGCUGUGGUGAUUGGACCAUUUAUUGUCUUCAAUCUUCAUUUUGAGAAAUCUUUGCAUGCAAUUUCACUACAGUGUGAUAGCUAUAACUACAAUUAAAGCAAGAACGUGCUGACAAGAAAUCAUUCAAUAAGCCUCUUUUGAUGGCUGACCAUAGAAGAUGGGAUAGAUUCACACACAAUCAUCUAAUCUGAACAGCAGGAAUCCAUCCAUACUGUGUCUAUCCUGAUCAGUUCUAAUUUGUAUUAUUAUUUGGAUGAUAUCACUGCAACUAUGUUUUUAAUAAUAAUAAGCUAAAUCCCUGUCAUGGAUGGUUAGGUAAUAUCAAUUCUGAGAAGCAUUUGUUUGAGAAAUUAAAGAUUUAAGGAUGACGCUCUUCCUCAUAUCUUUCUUUCGCAAAAAGGAGAAAGGAGGAAAACAAAAGAAAAGGAAUCACAGGAGAACAUCACCUUUUUAAGGGAAUCAUUAGGUCUCUCAUGAUCUCAGGAGAACAUCACCUUUUUAAGGGAAUCAUUAGGUCUCUCAUGAUCUCUUUAGAUAUUUAGAUUUAUUUAAGAUUAUAUUGAACAUAAGGAUGAUGUCUUUUAUGAAUCUAUCAAUUAUAUAUUCUCAAUCAAUUGAGAUUUUUUAAUCUUGUAUUAGAAAUCAUGUUAUUAUAUAUCUAAAUCAAGUGAAAGGUCUUGUUAUGAUAAAAAUAGGUAUAGGAAGAAAAGAAAAUCCACCCACCAACCACUAGAUCCUAUGAUUUGAUCUCACAUCUUUUGGUUCUUUUUUUUCAUUCUUAUAUAUAUAUUUUUUGUUUGAACUAAACUAGAAACAUCAAGGAAGAUAGAUUGAGAUAUAGAGGCUAUGAGGAUUUUCACAAAUUAUUUCUUUAAUUUACCCGUUUCCCUAGUUUCACCAAUCCAAUGUACAUGCAUGCCACAUAAUUCUUCUCAUUGUUCUCUGUCUUUACACCACUUUCUAUUACCAUUAGCCAUUGUUGUGGCUUGUGCUAUAUGGUGUAUGGGAUAAUGUUGAUGGUCAGAACACAUGCAAUAGAGACAAUAGAGGGAAUAAAGGAACAUAAAUAGGUGUGCUACAAGGAUGCAAGUUAUGACUAUGGAUAAAUGUUGGUAGUGAUAGUGACACCUAGUACAUAUGGAGACAGAAAGACAAAAAGCCAAUACUAUGGAGCAGUGAUCUAAAAAGCGCUAGGCGCCAAGAUGCAAAAACGCCUUAGGCGUUAGGCGCUCGCCCAAGUGAAACGAGGCACUAAAAUAUAAAAAAUACAUAAAUUAAUUAAUAAAUAUAAUUAUUUAAAUAAAAAUAUGAUAUUAAAUUAAAAAAAUCUUAUAGAAUCACAAUAUCACAUUAACAAAAAAUCUCAAAAUUCAAAACAAUAACAAAAUUUUUAAAUAAAUAAAAAUUAGCAGUAUUAAAAUCAAAAUAAUAUAUUAUUAAUCUAAUAAAUAAAAAAUAUUGUUACUGGUAUACAGUUAACAGUUUACUAUUAAUAUACUGUUAACAGUAUACUAUCGAGUCGAUGUGAGUAGAGAGAGUAAGAGUAAUAGUAGCGGCAAUGGUAGCGGGAGUGGGAGCGACGAUAAUGGCAAGCAACGAUAGCAGCGGUAGUGGCAGCGGCAGCGAUAGUAGUAGCAGUGAGCAGCGGUGUAAGAGUAAGACUGAGGCUGCUGAUUGAGAAAAGCAGUAGUGGUAGCAGGAGCGGGAGCGACGAUAGUGACAACGGCAACAGCGACAGCAAUGGCAAGCAGUGACAGCGGUAGCGGAGAGCAGCGACAACGAAGACGGGCAACGAUAGCAAAGAGAAACAGUGGCAGUAGAGAGGAAAUGUCAGUGGCAGAAUCGCGAGCAAGGUUAGGGUUGGAGAAGUCGCGAGAGGGAUGUUGGGAGGCUGAUAUUGGUGCUUUAGUUGGUUCAAUCGAACCAACUGUAGCACCGGAGACCGAACCAAACGUAAAACACCGGUUCGGUCACCUGGUUUAACCCGGGCGCUCGCCCGAAGCGCCCGACGCCUGGGCUCGGGCAAGCGCCUAGGCGGCGCCUCUUUGAAGCGAGGCGCCUGGACAUGAAACGAGACGCUCGAGCCUCGUCUCGCCUUGCCAGAUCACCUAGGCGAACGCCCAAGCGCCUAUUGAAAUCGUUGCUGUGGAGAAUAAAAAUAAUUAGUAGUUGACAUGGGGGCUGACCAUGAGAGCUAAGGGAGAAAGCCACCUGCAACUACAAGUUAAGAGGGAGAAGCUACUGGUACACAUGCACACAAAUGUGUAUUUUUAAUUAUACCAAGAUUAUUUACUUGAUUUAGAUACAACAAUAAUAUGAUUGUUAAAACAAGAUAAACAAAGAUAUCCAUUUCUCUAAACAUUUAAUCAAGAAGACAUUAUUUGAUUAUUUGAUAGAACGAUAAGGUUACUCACUUGUGACUGUUAAUCGUUGCUGUGGAGAAUAAAAAUAAUUAGUAGUUGACAUGGGGGCUGACCAUGAGACCUAAGGGAGAAAGCCACCUGCAACUACAGGUUAAGAGGGAGAAGCUACUGGUACAUAUGCACACAAAUGUGUAUUUUUAAUUAUACCAAGAUUAUUUACUUGAUUUAGAUACAACAAUAAUAUGAUUGUUAAAACAAGAUAAACAAAGAUAUCCAUUUCUCUAAACAUUUAAUCAAGAAGACAUUAUUUGAUUAUUUGAUAGAACGAUAAGGUUACUCACUUGUGACUGUUAUCAGAGUUUGGGUCACGAAAAUAAUAUUUUCACUUAAAAGGGUAAGAUUGCAUAUAUUGACUUUCCCCAGAUCUCACAGGGUUUUCCAUACGUUGAGCCACUUUUUCUAAUAAUUUGAAGUAUUUAUGUAUUAGCAUGAUGAUCUUUUGGAGUAUUGCAAUAGGCAUCAAUCAAUUCAAUAGUGGUAGUGUCCCACGAAAAUAAAACUGAUAUAAGAGUUUUGAAUAUCGGUCCGUACCGGUGUACCGAGCUCUACUCAGUACGGUAUGUGCCGGUAUGUACGCUAGGACAUACCGACGAUACACCCUAAAACCUUAAAAAUAUCUUUACCUACCACGCCAGGGCGUACCGAUUAGUACGCCUUGGUAAUGGUCGAAAUCCGAGGCGAUAUAAGUUAGUACGCCUCGGUAUCGGUUAAAAAAAAUUGGUACCACCUUGUAGAGAGAGGUAUGCAUACCGGUAUCCUCUAGGACCGGUACGUACCGCCUGUAUUGGGCAGUACACAUUGAAAUUGUGUAAAAGUUUCUAGCUUCAUUGAUUGUUAUCCGUUCAAGUAAAAGUUUCUAGUACACAUCAAAAUUGAGACAUCAGAGUACCGGUAUCACUUGUUAUCCAUCCAAGUAAAAGUUUCUAGCUUCAUUGAUUCAGACAUCGGAGUUCAUUUGUAUUGGAUGCUAGUGCAAAGCAAUUUCGUGGCCAAAAAAUUUUCUGUUGCUCCAGAAACAAACUGUACAUAUAACAAAGAAGAUACACAAGACAUUUCCUUCUUUACAGGUCAAUGAUUUUGUCCAACCAAUCUCUCCUUUUGCUCAUAUGACAGUGUAAUCACUUGGGUUUGAACUGUAUCUUUACUUAACUUUCUAUUGUACUAAUCACCGGGCAUCAUGGGUUCAAAUCAACAGCAAAAUCAUUGCAACUUGGAUGGUAGGAAUUUGUCAUGGGUUCAAAUCAACAGCAAAAUCAUUGCAACUUGGAUGGUAGGAAUUUGUCAUGGUACUGACAGUCUGACCUCUUUGGCAUGGGGUAGGGCUAAUGUACAUAGGAUCCUCUAUAGAUCCCAUGGUGAGCAGACCUCCAUAUAACCUUUUGCUAAACACCAUGCCACAUGCCCAAUGGUACACUUGUUACUGUAUAUUAGUGAUUCAGCUUUGGAGUAUAGCUUGCACCAAUGUAAAAUGCUGAGCUCAUGCUAUACAGCCAACUAAAUUAAGUAUCUCUUCAAUUGAUGUUGUAUUCUCAAAGUUAUUCAUGUUUUCUUUGAGGCAGAGAUUGUUGUUCUUGGGACCUCAUUUUGUUGUCUAAGGGUGCAGGAUCCUCCUUUACUGAAACUCAUCAGAAAGUAAAAAAUGGCUAGUUUUGUUUAGAACCUUAAAUUUCUGUUUAUGAAGUGGAGCAUCAAAAUGCAAAAAAGGCCACACUGAGUUUGUUGGGAAAAAGAAAAAACUCGAAGUUGAUCAUUUUUUCUGACUCAUAAUUUUUGCAUAUGCAUACAGAUAGUUGCAAUCAGAGAUAUAAUACCACCACCUGUACGAGAGACAUUCAAUGAUGUCUACAUUGCUUAUGAGUUGAUGGACACUGAUCUUCAUCAAAUUAUCCGUUCAAACCAAGGUCUUUCUGAGGAGCAUUGUCAGGUUGUAUCUUUUAGUUCUUCACAUUAUACAGAUCUAUUAUACUUAUUUUAUUGUUAGAUAGUCAUAUUUGAUUUGUCACUGCACCUAUCAUGAGUUUGAGAUAGCAUCAGAUAGUCAUCUUACAUUAGGCCUUGUCAAGGGAUAUUCUGUUUCGAAUGGAUUUACAUAUUGUUUCCCUGUUCAUUAACUUUAGUACUUCUGUGUAUUACUUCAGUUAGUAACAAAAGAUGGCUAAAUUUAUUUGGUUUUGAUUAUAAUUUGUUUGAUUACUGACCUAGAAAACUUUCUUUAUUUUAUCUUAUCUAAACAAAUUGCUCGAGCAUCAGUGAGACUUUGUCACAAGAAAAAGGUUCAGAAAGCUCACUGGUUUUACUUAAUGAAAGCUUUAAUAAUUUUUCUGUAAUGGUUACCAGCCAAGCUUAUGAAAAGCCAAGCUCAAGCUCAAACCUGAUAAUACCCAUAUAAUCCUUGUAGGAAGCUAAACCUGGGAAAGCAGUUUGUUAGCUUGGCUUGGCUCAUUACAGCCUUGCAAAGGCCAUCAAUAAGUCAUAAGCUGAACAGAUCACAGUUCCAAUAGGAAUCUUAUUUUCUUGCCUCAUGGUUUGGUCAAACUUGUUAAUCAAUCAUGUGGAAAUUUAUUUCUUCUUUGAUUUAAAUAUUCUGGGAUUUUCUCAUAGUUCAUCGUCUGACUCGUUCCAGUUGUCUCUUUUGUUUCGUUCCCAUACAGUAUUUCCUUUAUCAGAUUCUUCGGGGUCUAAAAUACAUACAUUCAGCAAAUGUUCUUCACAGAGACCUAAAACCAAGCAAUCUCCUCUUAAAUGCCAACUGUGAUCUGAAAAUUUGUGACUUUGGACUUGCUCGUACUACCUCCGAAACUGAUUUCAUGACAGAAUAUGUUGUUACAAGAUGGUACCGAGCUCCAGAAUUGUUGCUAAAUUCUUCAGAGUACACUGCAGCAAUUGAUGUGUGGUCAGUAGGCUGCAUCUUUAUGGAACUGAUGGACCGGAAGCCUCUAUUUCCUGGAAGGGAUCAUGUGCACCAGCUACGGCUAUUGAUGGAGGUAUGAUCUUCUCAUUCAAACCUUGCCUUAUGUGACAUUUAUAACUAUUUCUUGCUAAUUUGACAUGAAAUGACUAGUAUUUGGAUUCGUAUCAGUGCUCUUUAAACCAAGAUUUCGUUCCUUUUCAAUUGGUUUUGGAUCUUAAUGAACAUCCAACACAAGCUAUUGAAUGAAUGAUAAAUGUCUUGCAUUUAUCUUCACUCUAACAUGUAUUGCCUUAGAAGUUGACAUAUUAUAUUGCUUUAUAUUUAAUGUAUUUGAUGUCCUCUAGUGUACAUGUGCAUCUAAUUUUUAUUUUGGUAAACUACCUUGUAUCAUGCAGCUUAUUGGCACUCCAAAUGAGGUUGAUUUGGAUUUUGUGAAUGAAAAUGCAAGAAGAUACAUUCGCCAGCUUCCUCGUCAUCCACGUCAGUCCUUUCCCGAAAAGUUUUCUCAUGUUCACCCUGCAGCUAUUGAUCUUGUUGAAAGAAUGCUAACAUUUGAUCCUAGACAGAGAAUAACUGGUGAGUUCUUAUUUUUCAGCUUUUGCCGGUUUUAAUUAAUUUGAGAAAAUUGCUAAGAUAAUCAACACAGUCAUAUAUUAUUUUACAAGUUCUGCUUUAUGAUGCACUUUGUGUUAUGCAUUGUGUGUGAUUAUAGAAUUGUGGUUGUUGCCCCUUUAAAUUAUAAAACCAUGACUGAUGUAAUGAGCUCUCUCAAAUUGUUUCAUGCAUGGUUGCACAUUAUUAAAACAUCAAAAAUUAAAAUAUGUUGACUUGUACUGUCACAACUUAAUAUUUUGUCGAUUGGCAGGUUAGCAAGUUUAUCUCUUGACGAUAACAUUUCUAUACCGUUUUGCAAGCAGAUUAUCUUUUUAAUUAAAGAUACAAGAGAAUCACACACUUUCUACAAUUCUGAAUUAGCUAAUAAAUUAUAACCUUCAAGGGAUGAUACUUGGAAAUCAAUCAGAGACCUACGCUUAAUUAGUACAUAAUUUUAAAUAUAUUCUUCUUAUGUACAUCACAUUUCAUUACCUGCUUAAUAUUUCCUUUGUCUGCUUGCUCAGCAAAGGAUUAGUCUGUGAAAAAUAUCUCAUGCCCUUAUUUCCUUAUCGUGUCAUGGUGCCUUGUUUGAAUGGUUCAUUUACUUUUCCAUUUGUUGGCAGUUGAAGAUGCACUUGCACAUCCCUACCUGGCAUCUUUACACGACAUUAGUGAUGAACCAGUCUGCAUGACACCUUUCAGUUUCGACUUCGAGCAGCAUGCACUCUCUGAAGAACAGAUGAAGGAGCUAAUUUACAGGGAGGCUAUUGCAUUCAACUUGGAGUACCAGCAAUGAAGUCGAUCAAGGUCCUAUUUAUUGACAGAUUGGCCUUUUAGUCAGUCUAAUUCAUGUUGUUCUGUAUGGCAUUGUCGCUGAUUUCUCGAUGUAUAUAUGUGCUUCUUACAGCCAGUUGAAGCUCUCUAUAACUCUAAUUGACCCAAAACCUCAGCGACUUGGUCGAUUCUUGGGCAUUAUUAUGUGGAAACUUCUUGUCACAUUUUUAAGUAGGUCGAUUAGAAGUUUUGCUUAUGUGGUGUUUUUAUAGGGUUCUCAUUUAUUUUUAUGGAAUUUAGCCCUCUAAAAUUCAAUAUGAGGUUGAUUAAAAAGGCUGACUGCUGUUCCUCGCAGGAGAUGUUUGGAGUCUGUGGUUAGCAGCAGGAUGUUUCACUAUUUCUUCUCUUCUCUCCUCUCCUCAGUAGUAGGAGGGCGGGCUAAUUACAUGUUUGUUCUGAUAGUUGCCUCCUCGUAGCAUGGAGUUUUUGGACUUUUAAAAAUCACACAGUUUCCAAAAUUGUUUUUUUUUUUGGUUUUGAAACGAGAAAAUUAAGUAAUUGGAACAGAAUUUAUUCCCAAAAAUACAGAAUGCUCCUCCAAAGGCUGGAGGAGAACAAAAAAAUACCCUGCCUGAAUGGCGAGGUUGGUUGUGGGCUGCCAUAUGACUCUCCCUGUCUGCAUGUUGAAAGCCAAAACAUUUAAUCUUACAGUCAUAUGAAGUAUAUCAUUAUAGAUAUUUCUCAAAUAUCAUGGAGGCAGAUUAGAUUGAGGACAAAUCAACGUAGCUUCAAAGCAAUCAGAUUUUACACUAAUGUUGGUCAUACUGGGCUACGAGGCCUUUUGAGUACAUCUCAUAUAGCUCAGUAUUUGGCGUGCAAAGGGCUUAAAGCUCGGCGACGUAGUUGUCGAGCAGCGUAAGAGCAGCUCCGACAUAGAGCGUCCACAUCUACGACAUCCUCUUUUUUCUCUUCUUUUAUCUCACCUCUCGUUAUCGCUCUUCUUUUUUAUCCACAAUAGUCACCUGUAACUCCUAACGGUGUCAUCAUUUGUCAUCAUCAAAGAUGUAGCUAAGACGUUGAAAUUAUAUUUUUACCCAUCAUUUUCAUGCUUUUAUAUGUAAAAUCGAUGUCGUUAGGGUAAAUGGAAUUAGAUGUUUCACUUUCAUAACUAUAGAUAUCUCAAUGUAAAUUUUUGAAAUCUAAGGAUUGGGAUGCUAAAGAGGUCUAACUAAAAGGGGUACUAUGUAAUUAGCCCUCUUACAAACCCCUCGUUUGCCCUUAUCAUUGCACCAUUAUUCCUUACCUUCAUCAUCACCCUUUUUUACCGCUCUCAUGUGGUCUCCUUCAUCCUAUCAUUCCUCAACCUCAUCCUCUUCCGUUGCUCUCACGUGGUCUUUCCAUCUUACCAUUGUUUGACAGUGUCGAGGUGGGCGACGAAGCUGAGGGCAAGGAGGCGCCCAUGACACUACCUCUGCCUCAUCAAUCACCUGACCCUCGACUUCCCCUCCCUCCUUCCUUCGCAUGGCCUACCAUGCCAAGCAUUGCUCAUGCCUCAUUGAGCUACUCUGUUUCCUUGAUUGAGCGAUGACAAGAGACAAAAGCAAUGAGAAGAAAUGAGCAAUGACACACUUUCUUCAGCAUAGGUGGCUUGAAAUCCAAGAGGCGAAGAAUGGGCUAAGGACAAGGCCACACAUGAGGACAAGGGGUAAUCUCAUCAAAUGAAGGUGGUAGAAAAGAGCAAGACGACAUUUGAGAGCGACAAAUAAAGGCACAACGAUAGCAAUUGACAAGGUGGGAACCAAAGGUAUUCUCUCUUGCUCUUAUAGCAAAAAGAGAACAAUUCAUUGUGUACUAACAGCUAACAGCAACAUUUCCUCAUUCUUUUCAAUUAGAAUGAGAUUUGUUAUCAAUCAUCAAACAAAACCCCCCAAUCUCACUAUGCACCUUAAGAAGCAAAACACCUCCUCCUGAGAAGCUUAGCUAAACAGUUCUAUCGUUUGGAUCGUUCCUUUCCAAUUUUCGUGGUAGAAAAUUUAAUGGCUGUAAGCUUGAAAAAUAAAAAUAAAAAACAAGGAUUAAAAUUUUAUAUCGUACCAAAGUUUCGAGCUAGGACAUACCGAAUAGUACACCUAAUUUAGACAUAAAAUCUUCGAAAAAAAAAAUUAAGAUAGAGUUAUUAAAUUAGAAAUAAAUAUAAUAAUAAUAAUAUAAGUUUAACUAAACCAAUAUAAAUUAGGUAAGAAUAUAUAAUUAUAAAUUAGGUAAAAAUAUUAUUACAUAUCUUUUUUUAUUCAUAUUUCGAUCCGUUAUGAAUUACUUUUUUUUUGUAAAUAUUAAAAUAUUUAUAGAUAAAUUAUUUAAAUUAUUAAUUCAUAAAUUAUUAUUUUGUAAAGUUUAAGAGUGUAAAUAUGAAAAAAAAAACUUGAGAUAAAUUAAGAGAGUGUGAAAAUGAAAUGGAAUGAAAUAAGAGAAGAUAAGUUUAAAAAUCGCUAAAAAAGAGCUUCAACGAUCAUUUUAACACUAUUAUAGGUCAAUAAUGAUCAUAAUUGAUCAUUAUCGAGUUGUGCCGGAUGAUAACAAUUAAAAUUUUGAUCGUUCCGUCCGGUAGCGACCGAUCCAUGUACCAGUAUGCUGUUGGAUCGAUACAUACCGUUCGUAUCAGACAAUAUUAUUCAUGGUUUGCAGUACAGGUCCGUACCGCCCGGUACGGGCGGUACGUACCGAUCCGACAGGCUUCCGAUACGCGGACCGCCUGUUACCGGUCCGGCACUGUAGCAAUACUGUAGUACUGUAGCACUGCUACAGUGCUCGGCACGGCUGAAUAUACCGCUCGGUACACCUGGGUGUACCGAGCGGUAUACCGUACCAUACCGGUACCGAGCCCAGGUCGAAACUCCGGUACGGUACGGUAUUGCGAACCUUUAUAUUAUUCAAAAUUAAAAACCUUAAUGGAAAGUUAGAAUUGUGAGAAAACCACAAAAAAUUUGAAACUUCACUCCAAUACAGGAAUUUAGGGAGGACUUAACACAGGCACACUGUGAUGUUGAUAUAUCUACUGAAGACAUGACAAUGAAGGAAUCAGAUUCAGCGCCAGUAGAUUUCAAAGCCAUUCCAUUGAGAUAAAAUUCCAACGGCAACAUAAAUAUUCACUACAGGCACGAGAAGGAAAGCUAGUACUUGAAGAUUACCCUCGACCAGCCCAUACAUGCCACAAUGUACUUCAAUGGCGAAUUUAUCUUUGCUGUUCUGACCCUACAGUUGGCUGAACUCACUGCAAAAUUUAUUUGCAGAUAUUAAAAUGGUGAGCUCUAGAAAAACUUGGCUCCAAAACUUAUACGGCAUCAGAUAAGCAUAUAAAUCCUACCUGUGCAUCUUCACCUGCACCGCUCUUUGCAGUAUCCUCUGCAGAGGCCAAUAAGAACAUCAGCAAUCAGGGUGCAAACAUGACAGAUAAUCAAGUUAAGAUCACGAGAAGUGAAUAACUGAAAAUAUAAGAAAAGUAAGCUUUUGCUGGGUUGUACUGCCAGGGUAAAGUUUAGAAAAUAAAUUAAACACUCACAAACAGCACAGAAGGUCACCGAGAAUCCACAGUUUCCCAAAUGUUUUAUUUAAGGGAUAGGAAUCAGAAUGAAUUCACAUAGUUUCAUCUCGUAAAGGUUGAUAUAUCUGUAAGGCGCCAUCACACUUCAGCAUGAGAAAGCCAAAGAAAAAGUUAUCCACCCAACUCCAAUUAAGUAGCAGGAUCUCAUAUUGUGAUCCAUGCUAAUCUUACUGCCACGAACCAAAUAUUACAUGAGUACUUUUUGCACAUUAUGACAUAAAGAUGUCACUCUGCUAACAAAUAGCAAGAACCUGCAUUGAGAACCUCAGAGCCCAUUUGGCAUUAUUUCUAUAUUCUAUGUUUUAAGAAUAAGAAACAACAAAAAUAUUUUUGUUUUAACUUAAAACUAAGAUUUGAUCAUCACAAUUUAACUUAAAUUCUAUUCCCAAAGAAGGACUAGGUCUGAUGGUUGCUGGUAACUGGUAUUUAUUUAAGGAAGAAGAUACUUAUUAAUCACUACUUCCAAAAAUUCUAGAAACAAGUAAAAUGCUUUAAUAAAAUAAAAAAAAAAAGUCAGAAAAAAAACUAUCAGUUUAGAUUUUUUACAAACAAAAGACAUAAAAAUGAAGGGGGAAAAAGAAAAGCUAAACAGGUUUUAUCUUAUGUUCUCAUAGAGGAGAUGCUCCGAAGAUAGAAACACCCUUAUCCUAUAUAUGACAAUAUAACCUGAUACUUGAUUAUUGUGUAUUGAUUUACAUGAACAAGCAAACUAAAUUAGGAAAAUGUGGAGUAAGUGCAAAUGUUUAGCAUCCUCAAAAAAAUUAUGGGCAAACCAAAUAUGACUAAAUUAAUAGUGAAUAAUGCAUUUGGAGACAAAUUACUUUCUUGCAUAUGCCAACAGUUAAGAAUCAACAGAGGUAAAAGAGAAAGCAAACUGAAGCAAUGAGCAAAUAUGCAUCAUCAAAUUUCUCAAGCAGUUAUAUUCAAGGGAAAGAAGUGUCAUUGGAUCUAAUGACAAUAUGGAUAAUGUAAAUACAAGCACAGCCAGUGCCAGGGCUUUCAAUUUAUUGGGAAAGAGGUCAGUAAUCUCCUGGUUGUGCUAGUCUAUCAUAGAUGAGGUAGACACUCAGACAUGCAUAAGAAGUCAAAAUAGUAUCCAUCAGACAAACUAUUAUGAAUGACUUUUAAAAUGAGCAGUACAUCAAUACCUCUAUCUAAUUUAGUUCAAAAAAAAUAUAAAUAAAUCUUAAGAACCAUGGCUUACUGUUCAGAAAAUAUACAAGAAUGUGUCUAGGUGACCAUUUACAGGAUCUAUCACCAAUGUGCCUUUGCAUGCAGCAUUUACUGACCAGAUGCUGGGAACAAAUAGGCAUCAGAUGUCUAUAAUAGCAUCAGCUGCCAUUUGGUAGGUCAGGGUUCUUCUAACACAUAAAAUAAUAGCUUUUCUCAAAUAGAACCAUACAUUUCCAGAUCAUGCUAAAAAUAUUUUAGUGCAUUUAAGAAUCUUGAAUUUUUGCUAAAGCAUCUAAGAAUCCAAAGUUUAGAUUGCCACUGUUCCUUAGUCAAGUCACUGGAUGGUUGUACCUUUUUUUGUCCAUACCUGUGGACAAAUUCCAUGUCACAUCUAAUCUGGAUAAACUUUCCCACUCUAACUUGAAGACAUCUUCAAUGUAACAAAAGGGAAGGAUUCCCAAAUAUCUAAAAGAAAGUGAGUAGAAGAGUCUGUUCUUUUCCUUUUUGUUUUGCUGGUACAAUGUGCAACUUUGCCAAGAAAAUGUCUAACGUCAUGUAUAACAAAGCUUUACAUAAAUGCCAGGCAAAACAUCUUUAUGCUCCAAGCUUAUGCAUAGCUAUGAACAUCCCAAUAUGCCUUAUUCGAAUAUGCAAGCACAAAAUAAACUUCACGAUGCAAUAAAAUCAGAACAAGCAUGGACCACCACCCCAAUACUAGAAUUGCUAUUACCUCCAUCCUCAGGGAUGUCAGAGGUCCACAAUGUGAGGUUAUCCCUCAGAAGUUGCAUAAUUAAUGUGCUGUCUUUGUACGAUUCCUCACUCAAUGUAUCCAGCUCAGAAAUUGCUUCAUCAAAAGCUUGCUUGGCAAGGUGACAAGCCCUGGAAAUGGAUUUAAAUGACAUGUAAUCUGGAACAAAACCAUCUGAAUGAUGUCAAAUAAGUAAAACUGUAGCAGGUCAUACCUUUCAGGUGAGUUCAUGAUCUCAUAAUAGAACACAGAGAAAUUCAAUGCCAAACCAAGGCGAAUUGGGUGUGUAGGAGGCAGAUCUGCCUCAGCUGUACUGGUAGCUGCCUGUUGAAUGGUUCCAGACAAUAAAAAAAAAUCACUACAGCAAAACACUACUCUGUAAACAAUAUGAAUAAGGUUACAUCACAAGUCUAGUGUAGCACAUACCAA
Molecule: long non-coding RNA, 30463 nt
Filed under: Musa acuminata (dwarf banana)
Lineage: Eukaryota; Viridiplantae; Streptophyta; Magnoliopsida; Zingiberales; Musaceae
Description: long non-coding RNA (MACU_LNC000955)
Source: RNAcentral